Molecule: ribosomal RNA, 272 nt
Filed under: uncultured bacterium
Lineage: Bacteria
Description: partial 16S ribosomal RNA
Rfam family: Bacterial small subunit ribosomal RNA
Source: RNAcentral
GACGAAGGACCCCAAGCGUUAUCCGGAUUCAUUGGGUUUAAAGGGUGCGUAGGCGGGUUGAUAAGUCAGUGGUGAAAGCCCAACGCUUAACGUUGGAACUGCCAUUGAUACUGUCGAUCUUGAAUGUGUUUGAUGUGGGCGGAAUAUGACAUGUAGCGGUGAAAUGCUUAGAUAUCGUCAAGAACACCGAUAGCGAAGGCAGCUUACUAGACUGUAACUGACGCUGAGGCACGAAAGUGUGGGGAUCAAACAGGAUUAGAUACCCGUGUAGU